ACCAACAACACAGCAACAAAAUUUUACCUCUUCUCAAAAUUUGAGCCCCUCUCUUUCUCCUCGUUAUCAUGAUUUCUCCUCAUUUUGGCUUCUUUUUCAAGUGAUAAAAAACAACUUUGACUGACAAACUUCAAAAUCCAAGGGAUUGGGACACAAACAACUUCUUACUUGUGGAUUCCAACAUUUGGACCAUUAAUAAUCAUUACAAACAAACCGACUCAAGCCAUAUUUAAUCUCCCACUAUACCGCAAUGAAAUACACAAAAUAGGUAAGUCUUCUACUUCUUGUCCUCCUGACUAUAUAAUCCCAGGGACACAAACAACUUCUUACUUGUGGAUUCCAACAUUUGGACCAUUAAUAAUCAUUACAAACAAACCGACUCAAGCCAUAUUUAAUCUCCCACUAUACCGCAAUGAAAUACACAAAAUAGGUAACUCUUCUACUUCUUGUCCUCCUGACUAUACAAUCCCAAAACCAAAAAACAAAACCCUAGCUAGCAUUGGACAAACAUAAUGCUAGAAGAAGUGGAAAAACAUGACAAAAAAGGAGGACCGAGAGAAAGGACUUGUUUAGCAUACAACAAACUGUUCCAAGGAAAGGCUUGGUAUCUAA
Molecule: long non-coding RNA, 612 nt
Filed under: Linum usitatissimum (flax)
Lineage: Eukaryota; Viridiplantae; Streptophyta; Magnoliopsida; Malpighiales; Linaceae
Description: long non-coding RNA (LUSI_LNC002384)
Source: RNAcentral